GGAAGCUUUCCCAUCAACCUUAUGCCUGCAGUAAUUUGGAAAAAAGGUGCUGCUGCAAGACUCAGUUCCAGCCAGUGGAAUGUGUGCAACUUCCAGGCCUGGCCCAUAAAACCCUCUUGCAUGUGAUCCUUUCACUCUUCUCCCAUCUGAUGGCUGGAUAUUGACAUCAAGGAUGAUGCUGGAUGCCAGAUGUGGAAGAUGGGAAAGCCUCUACCUGUCUGGGUCCCUAUUGGCAAUUUAUAACCAGGAUAUCAGUCUGUGAGCUGUUGUGAUCAACUGGUAACACCCACUUUGAAAAUUUUCAAGACUAACAUCAUCUCAGCCGUAAGGGGUGUCUGGAACCCCAGUGAGACCGAGCUGUUCACUCCCCUGAAAAGGGGGCUGAAGCCAGGGAGCCAAGUGGUCUAGUUCAACAGAUCCCACCCUCACGGAGCACAGCAAGAACUUAAAGUAUAUAAAGACACCGACACACACAGAGAAUGCCAUGUAUGAUGAAGAUAGAGACUAAAGUGAUGCGGCCACAAGCCAAGGCAUGCCAAGGAUUGCUGGCAACCAGGAAAGAAGCAGGGAACAGAUUCUCACUUAACACCUCUGCAAGCAACCAACCCUGCCAACACCUUGAUUUUGGUCUUCUGGCUCCCUGAACUGUGAGAUAUUAAAU
Molecule: long non-coding RNA, 661 nt
Organism: Saimiri boliviensis boliviensis (Bolivian squirrel monkey)
Lineage: Eukaryota; Metazoa; Chordata; Mammalia; Primates; Cebidae
Source: RefSeq, a predicted model, not a curated record